GGAGCUGUGACUCUGUGGUGGAGUAUCAGUUUCGCAUGCAGAAGGUGCCAGGUUCAAGCCCUGGCAUCUCCA
Molecule: transfer RNA, 72 nt
Filed under: Sphaerodactylus townsendi
Lineage: Eukaryota; Metazoa; Chordata; Lepidosauria; Squamata; Sphaerodactylidae
Description: tRNA-Ala
Rfam family: tRNA
About the family: Transfer RNA (tRNA) molecules are approximately 80 nucleotides in length. Their secondary structure includes four short double-helical elements and three loops (D, anti-codon, and T loops). Further hydrogen bonds mediate the characteristic L-shaped molecular structure. tRNAs have two regions of fundamental functional importance: the anti-codon, which is responsible for specific mRNA codon recognition, and the 3' end, to which the tRNAs corresponding amino acid is attached (by aminoacyl-tRNA synthetases). tRNAs cope with the degeneracy of the genetic code in two manners: having more than one tRNA (with a specific anti-codon) for a particular amino acid; and 'wobble' base-pairing, i.e. permitting non-standard base-pairing at the 3rd anti-codon position.
Source: RNAcentral